UGUGACUGCUAUCCUGAUUUACAUGUCUGCAUUAGAGUAUCUUGGGAUUUUUCUCUUGCUGCCCCUGUUCUUUGGCCUGAAGAGAACUACGAAAUUCUGAAAGUUUUUUGGCCGAUAAAUUUUGAUUUGUAAACUGUAAUUUGAAACCUGCAAUCUGGAACUGUAAUAUGCAAUUUGCAAUCUAGAAUCUGGAACCUGGAACUGUAAUCUGCAGCAAUCUGCAAUCUGGAAUCUGGAACCUGCAACAAUCUGCAAUCUGCAAUCUGCAAUCUGGAGUUUGGAACUGUAAUAUGCAAUCUGGAAUUCAAAAAAUAUGCAGUCUGCAAUCUGUAAUUUGGAACAGCUGCAAUCUGGAACUUCUUGCCUCUUCUAUAACUUCUACAAUCUGAUUUGUUGUACAUUUUAAAUGUGUAGGGAAAUGGAGGUGAUCAAAUUUGAAGGGUCGCCACAAGUCAAUUUGAUCUCAUUGAAGUGGAUGAUGAAGAGUUUUUGAACUAUUGUAAAACUUUGAAUACAUUAUGUUUGCUUUUGUGAAAUAUAUUCAUUGCUAGAAUAUAUUGAACUAUUGUAAGAAUACUUUUUUAACUAUU
This 590-nucleotide long non-coding RNA is filed under the name Solanum tuberosum (potato). Its description in RNAcentral is "long non-coding RNA (STUB_LNC008083)". The record is from RNAcentral. Lineage: Eukaryota; Viridiplantae; Streptophyta; Magnoliopsida; Solanales; Solanaceae.